GGUGCCUUCGGGAACUGUGAGACAGGUGCUGCAUGGCUGUCGUCAGCUCGUGUUGUGAAAUGUUGGGUUAAGUCCCGCAACGAGCGCAACCCUUAUCCUUUGUUGCCAGCGGUCCGGCCGGGAACUCAAAGGAGACUGCCAGUGAUAAACUGGAGGAAGGUGGGGAUGACGUCAAGUCAUCAUGGCCCUUACGACCAGGGCUACACACGUGCUACAAUGGCGCAUACAAAGAGAAGCGACCUCGCGAGAGCAAGCGGACCUCAUAAAGUGCGUCGUAGUCCGGAUUGGAGUCUGCAACUCGACUCCAUGAAGUCGGAAUCGCUAGUAAUCGUGGAUCAGAAUGCCACGGUGAAUACGUUCCCGGGCCUUGUACACACCGCCCGUCACACCAUGGGAGUGGGUUGCAAAAGAAGUAGGUAGCUUAACCUUCGGGAGGGCGCUUACCACUUUGUGAUUCAUGACUGGGGUGAAGUCGUAACAAGGUAACCGUAGGGGAACCUGCGGUUGGAUCACCUCCUUACCUUAAAGAAGC
RNAcentral lists this ribosomal RNA (532 nucleotides) under Escherichia coli. Its description in RNAcentral is "bacterial SSU rRNA". It matches the Rfam family "Bacterial small subunit ribosomal RNA", at positions 1013 to 1533 of the family's 1533-position model. The record is from RNAcentral. Lineage: Bacteria; Pseudomonadati; Pseudomonadota; Gammaproteobacteria; Enterobacterales; Enterobacteriaceae. RNAcentral also lists the same sequence under 1 other name.